RNAcentral lists this non-coding RNA (776 nucleotides) under Luehdorfia chinensis. The record is from RNAcentral. Lineage: Eukaryota; Metazoa; Arthropoda; Insecta; Lepidoptera; Papilionidae.
AUAAAAUUUUAUGAUUUAAAAAAUUUAAUUUAAAUUUAUUUUACAUAUAAAUUUUAGUAUGAAUUUAUAAUUAUUUUAAUAAUAAUAAUAAAUUAUUUAUAGUAAUUAAUAUUAAAAAUUUAAGAAAUUAAGAUUUAGUAAUAUUAAAAUUAUUAACAAAUUUUGUGCCAGCAGUUGCGGUUAGACAAAAAAUAAUUUAAAUUUUAUCAGUAUAUAAUUAUUAAUAAAUAAUUUAAUUUAAAUAUUAAAUUAUUAGGUAAAAUUUUAAUUUAAUUAAAAUUUAUUUAAAAUUUAUGAUUUAUUAAAUUUUAUAAAAAAACUAGGAUUAGAUACCCUAUUAUUAAAAAUUAAAUUUAUUAAUACUAAAAUAGUAAAUAAUGAUUUAUUGAAACUUAAAUAAUUUGGCGGUAUUUUAGUACAUUUAGAGGAAUCUGUCUAAUAAUUGAUAAUCCACGAAUAAAUUUACUUAAUUUAUAAUUUUAUAUAUCGUUGUUAAAAAAAUAUUUUUUUAUAAAAAUAAUAUUUUAAAAUUUUUAUAUAAAAUUAACUCAGAUCAAGAUGUAGAUUAUAAUUAAGAAUAUGAUGGAUUACAAUAAUAAAAAUUAAAAUGAAUAAUAUUUUGUAAAUAAUAUUUGAAGGUGGAUUUAAAUGUAAUUUUAUUUAAUUUAAUAAAAUGAUUAUAUAUUAAAAUAUGUACAUAUUGCCCGUCGCUUUCAUUUAUAAAUUGAAAUAAGUCGUAACAUAGUAGAGGUACUGGAAAGUGUUUCUAGAAAGUU